This is a long non-coding RNA of Dermacentor andersoni, 330 nucleotides long. RefSeq lists it as uncharacterized. The record is from RefSeq and is a predicted model, not a curated record. NCBI's taxonomy places the organism in Eukaryota, Metazoa, Arthropoda, Arachnida, Ixodida, Ixodidae.
CAGCCGGAGGUAACUGCUGCGGUUACUAAAUUCGUACUACCUUCUUUCUGAAGCAUCUUCUUCAGUUUCGCAUCAUUACAGGAAACAAUAUGAAUCCGUAUAACUGAGUGACUUUGUGGCAUAGACGGUUGCAAAUACGUACCGGCUCGUGUAUUCGAAGUUGUGCGAUGGUCGUUCACAGCUGCAAUGCAUGUUGUUGCACUAUUGCACCCUCGAUCGCAGAAGCAAUGUAGGAUUCUGGAACGAAAUGGCGCAUCAAUGCAGGUAGAGGAACUCAAACCACCUGGACAUUGCCGACUACAUAAAAUAAGCCUAGAUGAAAAAAAAGAA